RNAcentral lists this ribosomal RNA (497 nucleotides) under uncultured bacterium. RNAcentral's name for it is "partial 16S ribosomal RNA". It matches the Rfam family "Bacterial small subunit ribosomal RNA", at positions 28 to 507 of the family's 1533-position model. The record is from RNAcentral.
GAUGAACGCUGGCGGCGUGCCUAAUACAUGCAAGUCGAGCGAACAGACGAGGCGCUUGCUCCUCUGACGUUAGCGGCGGACGGGUGAGUAACACGUGUAUACCGUACCUAUAAGACUGAGAUAACUUCGGGAAACCGGAGCUAAUACCGGAUAAUAUAUUGAAGCGCAUGGUUCAAUAGAGAAAGACGGUGUUGCUGUCUCUUAUAGCGGCAUCCCCGCGGCAUGAGCUAGUUGGUAAGGUAACGGCUUACCAAGGGAACGCUGCGUAGACGAACUGAGAGGGUGGUCGGCCACACUGGAGCGUAGACACGGUCCAGACUACUACGAGAGGCAGCAGUAGGGAAUGUUCCGCAGAGGGCGAAAGCCUGACGGAGCAACGCCGCGUGAGUGAUGAAGGUGUCCGGAUCGUAAUGCUCUGUUACUAGGGAAGAACAGAUGUGUAAUUAACUGUACACGGCGUGACGGUACUUAGUCAGAAAGCCACGGCUAACUACGUG